GACGUAGGGCGCAAGCGUUGUCCGGAUUUAUUGGGCGUAAAGAGCUCGUAGGCGGCUUGUCGCGUCGACUGUGAAAACCCGUGGCUCAACCAUGUGGUCUGCAGUCGAUACGGGCAGGCUAGAAUUCGGUAGGGGAGACUGGAAUUCUCGGUGUAGCGGUGAAAUGCGUAGAUAUCGAGAGGAACACCUGCGGCGAAGGCGGGUUGCUGGGCCGACACUGACGCUGAUGCGCGAAAGCCAGGGGAGCGAACGGG
Molecule: ribosomal RNA, 254 nt
Filed under: uncultured bacterium
Lineage: Bacteria
Description: partial 16S ribosomal RNA
Rfam family: Bacterial small subunit ribosomal RNA
Source: RNAcentral